RNAcentral lists this ribosomal RNA (458 nucleotides) under uncultured soil bacterium. Its description in RNAcentral is "bacterial SSU rRNA". It matches the Rfam family "Bacterial small subunit ribosomal RNA", at positions 26 to 491 of the family's 1533-position model. The record is from RNAcentral.
AGAUUGAACGCUGGCGGCAUGCCUUACACAUGCAAGUCGAACGGUAGAGUAGCAAUACUCGAGAGUGGCGAACGGGUGAGUAAUAUAUCGGAACGUGCCCAGUCGUGGGGGAUAACGUAGAGAAAUUUACGCUAAUACCGCAUACGAUCUACGGAUGAAAGCGGGGGAUCGCAAGACCUCGCGCGAUUGGAGCGGCUGAUAUCAGUAUUAGGUUGUUGGUGAGGUUAAAAGCUCACCAAGCCGACGAUCUGUAGCUGGUUUGAGAGAACGACCAGCCACACUGGGACUGAGACACGGCCCAGACUCCGUACGGGAGGCAGCAGGUGGGGUAAUUUUGGACAAGUGGGACGAAAGGCCUGAUCCAGCAAUGCCGCGUGCAGGAAGAAGGUCCGUUCGGGUUAGUAAACGUGUACUUUUAGGAACGGUAACGUAAACCGGUUCCUUUACUAAAGUAAAGG